RNAcentral lists this ribosomal RNA (439 nucleotides) under uncultured bacterium. RNAcentral describes it as "partial 16S ribosomal RNA". It matches the Rfam family "Bacterial small subunit ribosomal RNA", at positions 339 to 795 of the family's 1533-position model. The record is from RNAcentral.
CUACGGGAUGCAGCCGUGAGGAAUAUUGCACAAUGGGGGGAACCCUGAUGCAGCAACGCCGCGUGGAGGAUGACGCAUUUCGGUGUGUAAACUCCUUUUAUAUGUCAAGAAGAUGACGGUAGCAUAUGAAUAAGCACCGGCUAACUCCUUGCCAGCAGCCGUGGUAAUACGGAGGGUGCAAGCGUUACUCGGAAUCACUGGGCGUAAAGGACGCGUAGGCGGGUUGGAAAGUCAGGUGUGAAAUCCUACAGCUUAACUGUAGAACUGCACUUGAAACUUCUAAUCUAGAGUAUGGGAGGGGGAGAUGGAAUUAGUGGUGUAGGGGUAAAAUCCGUAGAUAUCACUAGGAAUACCUAAAGCGAAGGCGAUCUCCUGGAACAUUACUGACGCUAAGGCGUGAAAGCGUGGGGAGCAAACAGGAUUAGAUACCCGCGUAGUC